AAUUAUAUUUGGCAAAGCCAGAGAAAUCUGGUGACGCAAAGCUAUAGGGUCCGAAAGGACAGCCAGUUGCAUUU
RNAcentral lists this non-coding RNA (74 nucleotides) under Butyrivibrio sp. YAB3001. Its description in RNAcentral is "c-di-GMP-I riboswitch aptamer". It matches the Rfam family "c-di-GMP-I riboswitch aptamer". From Rfam's summary of the family: GEMM was predicted in a large-scale screen for bacterial structured RNA regulatory elements. Genes associated with GEMM are involved in a diverse array of functions, including chemotaxis regulation, signal transduction, secretion and chitin. The record is from Rfam by way of RNAcentral. Lineage: Bacteria; Bacillati; Bacillota; Clostridia; Lachnospirales; Lachnospiraceae.